CCUACGGGGGUCAGCAGUGGGGGAUAUUGCACAAUGGGGGAAACCCUGAUGCAGCAACGCCGCGUGAGUGAAGAAGGUCUUCGGAUUGUAAAGCUCUGUUCUUGGUGAAGAUAAUGACGGUAGCCAAGGAGAAAGCUCCGGCUAACUACGUGCCAGCAGCCGCGGUAAUACGUAGGGAGCGAGCGUUGUCCGGAUUUACUGGUUGUAAAGGGCGUGCAGCCGGGAAGACAAGUCAGAUGUGAAAUCCCGCGGCUCAACCGCGGAACUGCAUUUGAAACUGUUUUUCUUGAGUACAGGAGAGGUCAUCGGAAUUCCUUGUGUAGCGGUGAAAUGCGUAGAUAUAAGGAAGAACACCAGUGGCGAAGGCGGAUGACUGGACGGCAACUGACGGUGAGGCGCGAAAGCGUGGGGAGCAAACAGGAUUAGAUACCCGGGUAGUC
RNAcentral lists this ribosomal RNA (440 nucleotides) under uncultured bacterium. RNAcentral describes it as "partial 16S ribosomal RNA". It matches the Rfam family "Bacterial small subunit ribosomal RNA", at positions 338 to 795 of the family's 1533-position model. The record is from RNAcentral.